RNAcentral lists this transfer RNA (73 nucleotides) under Polyangiaceae bacterium. RNAcentral's name for it is "tRNA-Arg". It matches the Rfam family "tRNA". From Rfam's summary of the family: Transfer RNA (tRNA) molecules are approximately 80 nucleotides in length. Their secondary structure includes four short double-helical elements and three loops (D, anti-codon, and T loops). Lineage: Bacteria; Pseudomonadati; Myxococcota; Polyangiales; Polyangiaceae. The record is from RNAcentral.
GCGCUCGUAGCUCAGUUGGAAGAGCAGCGACCUUCUAAGUCGCAGUGCGGGGGUUCGAAUCCCUCCGGGCGCG